This is a long non-coding RNA of Macadamia integrifolia, 3570 nucleotides long. RefSeq lists it as uncharacterized. The transcript is spliced from 2 exons. The record is from RefSeq and is a predicted model, not a curated record. Lineage: Eukaryota; Viridiplantae; Streptophyta; Magnoliopsida; Proteales; Proteaceae.
UUCCUGAUUCAUAUCCUCUUUUCUUCUUAUCUUUUCCUUCCAUCUAUUAAACAGGUCAAAUUAUCUAUUUCUUCCUUGUGCAUACUUUUAUCUUUCAUUCUUCUAAUCUGGUUUGCUAAUUAAACCUCAACUAUUUUUAGUUGAUUUUUUUCUCUGUUAACAUAAAAUUCUGCCUUUUGAAUUCUGUUUGAUAUCAUAGCUAAUGUUCUGUUUCAGAAUUCCGUCUAUGCAAAUCGAUUCUAAUUGUCCUAUUCUCUGUCAACUUCUUCAAAGUUCUGUCUUUUGUACUGAUUUUGCAAAUCUGAGUAUAGGACAUUAUUCUGAUUUUUUAUUGAAUGAUUUCUGUUAACUUUGUUAGUCUCAGUCGCUGGUCAUUCAUUAAUAGUUGCUAUUCUGAAUCUUCUGGUACAUCCAAUCGAAUUUGGGAUUCUGGACUUCUAAUCUGGAAUCCUAAUCACAUUGGGAUUCUAUCAUAUUCCAGAAUCUGCCUGUCAGAUUCAGACCAAAAUUAACAGGAUUACCUAUGCAGUCAAGGUCAGCCUUCAACCAGAGUAUUCGGCCAGAUCAGACUCACUGAUGGUCUGGUUUUUUGACUCCUCUAAAAUUCUGGUUUAUUCCUACUUCCUAAUCCUGCAACGCUGGAAAAACUCUUGUUUUUCUAGACCCUAGGUGGUUAGAAUCCCAUUAUAUGGUAGCUUAACCUAGAGCUUACUUUUAUUGUACUCCAAGAAGAUAGGGACUUUCCUACUUAGUGUAGUUACUAAAUAACUACUAAGUAUCACGAAAUAUCUUUGAGGAUAUCCUUUAGAGUUUCAAAUAUAUUUAUUUGAAAAUAUGGAAAUUUCCCCAUAGUUGUGAAAAUUACACGAAGUCCACACCUAUCCCAAAAAGAAAAAAAAAAAGAAAAAAAUUACCUGAAGUCCAUCAAAAGGGAAAAAUUGAAUCUCUAUGAUACUUGAAGGACAAUUAUGGUUGAUCCUUUAAUUACCUAGAGUAGAAGUCAGUUGAUGUCUCUGUGGGUUGGAUUGAUCCUCUUUGUCUUCGUAUGUUUUUUUUUUUUAAUUCCUUUUUUAUUAAUUUCCCUGGGGUAUUUGGAUCUAGUUACUUCACUGAAGUAUCAUUUUUGUUCUCUUUAGAUGUUCCCUCUUUCUCUUGCACUUGAGUGCAGACACACACACUAACCUGUUCCCAAGGAGUUCUCCUGCGCAACUUCAAACCCUAAGAUUUCAAUGGUGGACGAUUAAAACUACUUCACUGAAAAGUCCCAUGAUUUAAUGACUUUGUUUUGGGUAGCUAAUUAUGGAAGUUGACCAGACUUAAAUCUUGGGUCCUGCCCGGGGUCAGUCAUUCAACUAAUUUAUUUGUGGACUUUAAACUAAGCCAGUCAUACGGUCCAAAUACUUCUGUAUUGUAUUUGGUUUCAGAUGUCAGGUGAAAAUGGCUUAACCCACUGAAACAUAUUGAUCGAGAAGUUCAGGGUAUUGGGUAAUAUUGUUUGAACAGCUAUUUCAACCAAAAUAUUACACAGCUUGCUUUAAAUGGUUUUGGGCUAUUUAUCUUCAGCCAAAACUAAAUGGGCUGCCUCAAUUCUUCUAAACUUAAUAUACUCCGGUUUCUUACUUGGUUGUCCAUUUUGUGAUAAUUUUCUCUAUUGUCAUAUACUCAUGGUAAGUCUCAACUCUUAACACAUUUGCCACCUGUCUAUAUAAAGCCUAAAAAAAAAUGGUUGAAAAGUCAACUUUGUACAAUAUGGUAUGAUGGCUAACGACAUAAAGGGUAAACGUCAAUAAAGAGUGAACCAUAACCAAAAAAAUUCUAGGAAAAUUUGGUCAGAAAUAUUCUAAAUGGUGGAAUUUCAUUUUUCUUUCUUGGAGCAAACUGGAAGAGGUAGUGAAGCUAGUAUAAGCUUAAUGUAAACGGCUGCUUGUUUGGAAAUCCAGGUAUUUCAGGAGGAGGUACAUUCAGAGACUCCCACAGUAUCCCUAUGUCUGCUUUGCUCAGUUUUUAGGAAUCAAAACAAACUUUAGUGCAGAAUUUCUUGCAUUCUUGACUGGUUUAAGUAUUGCAAAGGAGAAGCAUUACUCCAAGCUUUGGAUUGAAUGUGACACUCAAGCGGUAUAACUUCAAAAGAAGUAGGCCAUUUCUAGGAUUUCCAUGCAGCAGUGGUUAUUUCUCAAAAAUUACUUCCCUUUGAUCACUUGGAGAAUUAGUCAUUGUGUUCUCUUUGCAGAUCUUUUGGCUAAAAAAGGACCCACUUCUUUGGAACUUCUUUUUUGGUCUUCUCAUCUAGAUUUUGUUAGUCGUGAUGUAUCUUGAGAUGUACAGAAUAGGCCUAGAUAUUGAUUUGUAACCUGAUAGCUUAAAGCUGUUCCUUUGUACGACUGGGGAGUCUGCUGUUGGCUAUGCCAGAGGUGGCCUCUUCUUUUACCCAAAAAUAAAAUAAAAAAAAAAGGGAGGUAGCCUCUUCAGUCAUUUAGUUAGUCUUGGAUUUUGCCAAUGGCAAUGCCAAAGGUGGAGGUCCAAGUAUAAUCUGUCUUUGUUUUGCAGUAUGGAUAUGCCCAGACUAUAAUCUUGUACAUCAUUUUACCAUUUUAAUUCAUUCAUUUGCUGAUCCAUAGCCAGAAGCAGACUUUACCAGACUACUAGUGCUUGUCAAGUAAUCAUGAUUAAUGGAUCUGUAGAAACGCAACCCUAAAACGAUACAGAAGAUAAUGGAAAAACAGAACAAACAAUGCACACAAAUUUACGAGGUUCAGCAAGGUUGCCUACGUGCUUAGUGAGAUGAGAUCCUGCUUCACUAUCAAUGGAGAAUAGGGUUAUAGCGCUCGUCCCUCACACCUCUCAGUAUUACUUGCAUUUCAGAAAAAUAUUAGCAGGAUUGUCGUCCUGCCUAUUGAGGCACUGUACCAGUACUGUAUGGAUUAAACUGUGAUGGAAUAGAAGACAUCGUACACCAACAGGAUCUCCACUCAUACAUGUUUUAUCUUUUCCUUUUUUCAACCUUUUUACUCCUUAAUGUAUCACCUGGUAUGUCUCGCCUUCUUUUAGUAAGAUAGUAGUUCUUUGGGUUUUUGGAUCAAUAGAUCUUCUCUGAUGCCUCACCCUGCAAGUUCCAAAUAUAUUAGGUCUAAUUGUGUACUCAAGUGCAAUAAUUUGAAGGUGGAGCUUAGAAGGUCUCUAAAUCUUUUGAAUCACGAGGAACCGUUUUUCUUUUAUGUUGCAGUAGCCCUUUUGUGGUUAUUCAUUGCAGGGCUUUCUGACUUGAAGUUGGUUUUAUAUUGUUUUAAUUUUUCUGCAGAAGAUGGAAAAGGAAGGAUCUCAAGAUCAAAACCAGUGAGGAGUUUCGUCAUGUAGCAUCAACUCUUGGUUUUUGUUGUGUUCUCAAUUUUGUGAUGUAAUCUGAUAUCUACUUUUUAUUUGUUCCGACUUAGAGUCAAUGAGAUAUGCUGGGAACGCAUGGCUGUGUAGCACGUAAAAUAUUUUUUUACAGAGAUACUGAUUCAUAAUAUUUCAGAUUUAAUGAGAUCUGUGAAAACUGAAAUAUGGUUUUCAAAGAUUGGUCUUUCUUCA